AGUUGUCAGGAGCAGUUUGUUUUUUUGUGUGAGAACACUACUUAGGCAUGUACAGGAAAAGUUAAAGACCCACUCCGAUGAAAAUCAUGUUGUCUACAUGUUCAUGUGGCAUUUUUUCUGAUGCUACAGGACAUAUCACGAGAAAAAGAAGUGCGAAAAAGCAUUUCUGAGUAUUUCUGAAGUCAAAUCGCUGUAAAUCUCUGACAGACCCAAAUGGCAGGAUCAGAAAAAGAGAGAUUUCCUAUGUAACCAAUCCAAGCUCCGCCCCCGAAGCCCCACUAUGAAGGCCAGGCUUGGAGAAAUAGAGAGGAUGAUCGCGGAACAAGCGUCUGCGUUUGCCGAUUGAAAUGCUCGUAAGAAAGCUAAUUAUGAUAUUAGCUUUCACCUUUUCCCUAAAGACAUUAGUGUGCCAGAGCUGAAAAGCUCUUAUUUUACCUGUUUCUUCUACUACACCGCUAAUGCUAGGCUGCAAGCUAACUCGAGGAGAAGUGUGCAGACUCAGAUGCGAAUUGCUAAUGAGGUACAGGAGCUCUGCAGAAGAAAAGUUCUUGAAAACGACACAGGUAACAUGAUUUUGGCUAAAAAAAAUUCAUAAUCACAAUUUAAGGACCACAGAUAACACUCUAAGUCGUAAAAUAUAUAUAUAUAUCGGAGUGGGACUUUAAGCAAAGACUGCUUUGUCUUGGGGGUGCUAAAGUUGACCCAAACUGAAAGUUCCUCACAAGAGUUUGAAGAGUGAGAAAACCUUGUUUGAACUGUGCUCUCAUAGAGGCUGCAAACAGCCUGACUGCUUUAAAAUGAUGGUGUUGCAUCUUUGUGUUUACAGUGCGUGUUUUCCUUUUUGUUACAUCCAUGAAACAGCUUUUGAACAGGCAUCCAGGUUGCUCAAUGUAGAGUCAAACAGAGAGAAGUCUGGGCUGUGCCCUCCCGUGCCUACUGAACUGGUAUCAGUGUUUUACUUGAAAACUGGCUCAGUUCAGCAGGAACAGGAGUGGGGCCCACAAACUAGCAGGAUCUUUGUUACAUCUUCAACUUCUGUUCACAGAAUAGAAGGCAGCCUGACAAAGUUUCAACAUUACUUAUGUGUUUAGUUGACCAUGACAAUGAAACAACGUGUUGGAGUUCAUUUGCCUUAAGUCGCUGACCCUGAUAAAAUCAAACCCAAGCUCUGUAGCCUGUCAAACAGCGGCGCUGAACCCUGAAGCGUACUUAAAAUGAUGGAGCUCCAGCUUGAUGUCUGUCCCUUUGCUCAAGUAUGAAUAUUUCAUGAGUAGAUUUACCAUUUUUUGCUUGAUAGGUAGGCCCUGGUACCCUCAGCUGCUUGUUUGCAUACUGUUACAUUCUGGUGCAGCUGAUCUUGUUGUUUAGCUCAGUCUUCAUGUUUAUUUCAGCACUCACCCCUUGAAAACACAUCUCUCACUUUUUUUGUCUUUCUUUGAAUCUUUUUCUUCUGUCCCUUUCUGUUGUCAAAGACCAGACUAAGACUCGAGUUCAUUGUCAGGUAAUCUCAGCAAAUUGUCUGCAGAGCCUUUAUGUCACCCAGCAGUCCCUGUUAUCCGUAACUGGGAAAGUGUCCAAUGCUGUUUCCUCAUUUGACUUGCAGCCACCAAAGAAAAAGUUUCAUCUUGGAGAUUUCAGACCCCUGGGAAGAUGAGCGCUCAUUAGUGAGCAUGAUGAAUCUGCUCUUACGCAAGAAUUCAACUGAUCCUGGUUGGCAGCAUAACAUUGUAUGUCUGUUACUUUGAAUGUCUGUGGAAAAAUGAUCCUGUUCAAACCUUAUGGACUUCAACCCACAAAAUGGUAGAGAAGUUAUUUUUCAGUGUGUCAGCAGCACCGGUCUGACUUCAGGGCAUUGUUUCAGCCAAGUGGUACCACUGAUUAUUAAGCUAUGAUUUGUGUAAGCAUUUAAUCUUACUGAAUGUGGAAGACGAUCAUGCAUGAAGUACAUUAUUCUAAAUGUCAGUAAUUUUUUAAAUGAUGUAAAAGGUGUAACUCAAUGUUUCAUUCCUUUAUUUCAAACCCAGCCGCCAUUUAUUUUAAUAAAGUGAAAAUGAGUCUGAGAAAAAAUCCUAGCAUUGUUUUUUUGUUAAAUAAUGUAGGUUAAUAUCUUUUGUGCUGAGGUGCAAGACAGGUCAGAAAGGCACGACAUAAUGAGAAAUGAC
This 2162-nucleotide long non-coding RNA is filed under the name Xyrichtys novacula (pearly razorfish). The stretch from base 923 to 992 matches the Rfam family "mir-24 microRNA precursor family". The record is from RNAcentral. Lineage: Eukaryota; Metazoa; Chordata; Actinopteri; Labriformes; Labridae.